Molecule: ribosomal RNA, 497 nt
Filed under: uncultured bacterium
Lineage: Bacteria
Description: partial 16S ribosomal RNA
Rfam family: Bacterial small subunit ribosomal RNA
Source: RNAcentral
GAUGAACGCUGGCGGCGUGCCUAAUACAUGCAAGUCGAGCGAACAGACGAGGAGCUUGCUCCUCUGACGUUAGCGGCGGACGGGUGAGUAACACGUGGAUAACCUACCUAUAAGACUGGGAUAACUUCGGGAAACCGGAGCUAAUACCGGAUAAUAUAUUGAACCGCAUGGUUCAAUAGUGAAAGACGGUUUUGCUGUCACUUAUAGAUGGAUCCGCGCCGCAUUAGCUAGUUGGUAAGGUAACGGCUUACCAAGGCAACGAUGCGUAGCCGACCUGAGAGGGUGAGCGGCCACACGGGAACGGAGACACGGUCCAGACUCCUACGGGAGGCAGCAGUAGGGAAUCUUCCGCAAUGGGCGAAAGCUUGACGGAGCAACGCCGCGUGAGUGAUGAAGGUCUUCGGAUCGUAAAACUCUGUUAUUAGGGAAGAACAAAUGUGUAAGUAACUAUGCACGUCUUGACGGUACCUAAUCAGAAAGCCACGGCUAACUACGUG